UACGUAGGGUGCGAGCGUUAAUCGGAAUUACUGGGCGUAAAGCGUGCGCAGGCGGUCUGUUAAGACAGAUGUGAAAUCCCCGGGCUUAACCUGGGAACUGCAUUUGUGACUGCAUAGCUAGAGUACGGCAGAGGGGGAUGGAAUUCCGCGUGUAGCAGUGAAAUGCGUAGAUAUGCGGAGGAACACCGAUGGCGAAGGCAAUCCCCUGGGCCUGUACUGACGCUCAUGCACGAAAGCGUGGGGAGCGAACGGG
Molecule: ribosomal RNA, 253 nt
Filed under: uncultured bacterium
Lineage: Bacteria
Description: partial 16S ribosomal RNA
Rfam family: Bacterial small subunit ribosomal RNA
Source: RNAcentral